Osmia lignaria (orchard mason bee) is the source of this 493-nucleotide non-coding RNA. Lineage: Eukaryota; Metazoa; Arthropoda; Insecta; Hymenoptera; Megachilidae. The record is from RefSeq and is a predicted model, not a curated record.
GCUUUGUCCGUUUGGCACGAGUCUGCAACAGGUAUCGGCUAUCGGCCGACAACGGAAUAUACCGAAGAAUGCCGAAGCGGUGCCAACCGGUCUUCGUCGGGAAGGAAGGUCUCGCCAUUUCUCUCGCGAACCUCGAAGUGGUAAGACGUGUUGAGAGCAUCUUUACGCAUAAGUAGUAGAUAAAGGACGCCAUGACAGCUGAUAUGGGUUUGAAAUAGAAUUUCGUAAAAAUUUAUUAUUUUAAUUUAUUGUAAUCAAUUAUUAACAUUUAGCAUUACUGUUUUUUAUUGAGUCGUUGUUAACUGUAAGCAUUUUUGAUAAUUAACUAGUACCAAGGUGAAGAAAGAGAAGAUUAGAGACAUUUUUUUUCUUUAAUCGAUUCAUAUUUUUGUUAAGUUGUCGUAAUUGUAUUAUAAUAUCCAGCUUUCGGUGCAACUGUAAAUAAAAAAUAGAAUCACGUUUUUAAAUCACAUGCUGUUUAAGCAUGAUUAAU